This 620-nucleotide ribosomal RNA is filed under the name Planctomycetota bacterium. Its description in RNAcentral is "bacterial LSU rRNA". It matches the Rfam family "Bacterial large subunit ribosomal RNA", at positions 1 to 579 of the family's 2925-position model. Lineage: Bacteria; Pseudomonadati; Planctomycetota. The record is from RNAcentral.
AGUUAAGCUACAAAGGGUAUACGGUGGAUGUUUUGGCGCAAAGAAGCGAUGAAAGACGUGGCAUGGCUGCGAUAAGCUCCGGGGAGUUGCUAAGCAAGCUUUGAUCCGGAGAUGUCUGAAUAGGGAAACCUGGCCUGCAUUAAGCAGGUCACUCUUGUCUGAAUACAUAGGGCAAGAGGGCUAACGGGGUGAACUGAAACAUCUAAGUAACCCCAGGAAAGAAAAGAAACCUCGACUUCCUCAGUAGCGGCGAGCGAAAUGGAAAGAGCCCAAACCGAGUUCAUGUAAGCCAGCAUGCGUUGUGAACUCGGGGUCGUGGGAGACAUCAGGCCACGAUGCUGUGUGGCCAGAGAGUUACAAAAAUCGUUCCUAGUUGAAUCACCUGGAAAGGUGAACCAUAGAAGGUGACAGUCCUGUAAGCGAAAGGUUCGAUUCUCUCGAUGUUUUCCCAAGUAGUGCCGGCCUCGUGAAAUCCGGUAUGAAUUUGGGGGGUCCACCCCCCAAGGCUAAGUAUUCCUUUGCGACCGAUAGCGUACCAGUAGGGCGACUGAAAAAUGAAAAGAACCCCUGUUAGGGGAGUGAAAUAGAACCUGAAACCGUGUACCUACAAGCUGUGGAAG